UUGAAAGGGAAACGAUUGAAGUCAGUCGUGCUGGCGCGAAAUCAACCCUCUCGUCGAGAGGUCACAUGGCGUGGCGAGCCUCAAAACCGUCACGAAGCGUGAACUCUUGGCGAAAAGGAGCAUUUUUGUGUCCGCUGGUUAACAUCAAUUUCGAACGUCAUAAAAAGGCUGGAGGGAUGUGGCUCCUUCGGGAGUGUUAUAACCUUUGGCGGAAUGUGGUGGUCGGGAUUGAGGAUUGCAACGAAUACCUUUAGGGCUGUUCCACCUGGCUUCUCUUUGGUAUCCUGGUGAAGACAGCUCGCUGACGUUGUUAGGAUUCGCCUUUGAACAGGCUAGAGUGUGAGCAAAUUCGUUAAGGAUGUUGACGUA
RNAcentral lists this ribosomal RNA (369 nucleotides) under uncultured Glomeromycotina. RNAcentral describes it as "eukaryotic LSU rRNA". The record is from RNAcentral. Lineage: Eukaryota; Fungi; Glomeromycota.